GAAAGUAAAUAAGGGCGUAUGGCGGAUGCCUAGGCUCAUGGAGGCGAUGAAGGACGUGAUAAGCUGCGUUAAGCCUUGGGUAGGUGCAAAUAACCUUUGAUCCAAGGAUUUCCGAAUGGGACAACCCAACUAUCAUCAGAUAGUUAUUACUGUAUAUCAGUAAGGCAAACGGAGGGAACUGAAACAUCUUAGUACCUCUAGGAGAAGAAAAUAAUUAAAUGAUUCCCUUAGUAGUGGCGAGCGAACGGGGAGAAGCCCAAACCACGGUUGUAGCAAUGCAAUCGUGGGGUAGUAGGAGCAUAAUAUUGUACUUUGAUUGUGAAUAGAAUGAACUGGAACGUUCAGCCAUAGCGGGUGAAAGCCCCUUAUAUGAAGCAAGAGAAGACAUAGUGUUAUCCUGAGUAACGCGGAGCACGAGAAAUUCUGCGCGAAUCAGCCGGGCCCAUCCGGUAAGGCUAAAUACUCCCAUGAGACCGAUAGUGAACCAGUACCGUGAGGGAAAGGUGAAAAGAACCUCGAUGAGAGGAGUGCAAUAGAUCCUGAAACCAUACGCCUACAAGCGGUCGGAGCUGCUUUAUGCAGUGACGGCGUGCCUUUUGCAUAAUGAACCUACGAGUUACCGUCACCGGCAAGGUUAAGGAUAUAGAUAUCCGUCAACCGUAGUGAAAGCGAGCCUGAACAGGGCGUUUUAGUCGGUGGAGGUAGACGCGAAACCAAGUGAUCUACACAUGUCCAGGUUGAAGUCUCGGUAACACGAGAUGGAGGACCGCACCAAUAAGCGUUGAAAAGCUUCUGGAUGAGGUGUGUGUAGGAGUGAAAGGCCAAUCAAACUUGGAGAUAGCUCGUACUCCCCGAAAGGCAUUUAGGUGCCGCGUGCUAUGAUUUACAUAAGAGGUAGAGCGACCGAUAGGUCAAGAGGGCUUCACCGCCUAUCGCGACCUGACGAACUCCGAAUGCUUAUGUAUAGCAGUAGUGCAGUAAGGGGGCGGGUGCUAAGGUCCGUCCCCGAGAGGAGAAGAAUCCAGACCGCCGUCUAAGGUCCCUGAAUUCUGUCUAAGUUAGUCUAACGAAGUCCGGUCCCCGUGACAGCUAGGAUGUUGGCUUGGAAGCAGCCAUUCAUUCAAAGAGUGCGUAACAGCUCACUAGUCGAGGGUCUGGGCAUGGAUAAUAAUCGGGUAUAAGACAGAUACCGAAGGCGCGGGAUAGUAAUAAUAAAAGUAUCGGUAGGGGAGCAUUCUAUAUACGUUGAAUGGUUAAGGUAACUUUUCCUGGAGUGUAUAGAAAAGCAAAUGUAGGUAUAAGUAACGAUAAGAAGGGUAAGAUUCCCUUCCGCCGCAAGACUAAGGUUUCCCGGGCAAUGCCAAUCAUCCCGGGGUUAGUCGGGUCCUAAGUCUCAGCCGACAGGCGAGGGCGAUGGCAGACACGGUUAAUAUUCCGUGACUGCUGCAUGAUGCGAUUGUGGAGACGGAGAAGUGACACCACCGCGAGCUGACGGAAUAGCUCGUUGAAGAAAUUAGGCGUUGAUCAUGGUAGGCAAAUCCGCCAUGAGAGCUGACUUUUGAAAGUAUGGCAUUCCCUUCGGGGAAAGCCAAUAGUGUGGGUAAUCCUGCUUCCAAGAAAAUCCGCUAAGCUUCAGUCAUGCAGCACCCGUACCGCAAACGGACACACGUAGUCGGGUUGAAUAUACUCAGGCGUUGAGAGAUUCAUGGUUAAGGAACUAGGCAAAUUAACCCCGUAACUUCGGGAAAAGGGGUCCUCGUUUACUUACGAGGCGCAGAGAAUAGGUCCAGGCAACUGUUUACCAAAAACACAGGGCUGUGCUAACUCGAAAGAUGAAGUAUACAGUCUGACACCUGCCCGGUGCUGGAAGGUUAAGAGGAGAGGUUAUACGCAAGUAGAAGCUUUGAAUUGAAGCCCCAGUAAACGGCGGCCGUAACUAUAACGGUCCUAAGGUAGCGAAAUUCCUUGUCGGGUAAGUUCCGACCUGCACGAAUGGUGUAA
Molecule: ribosomal RNA, 2001 nt
Filed under: human vaginal metagenome
Description: bacterial LSU rRNA
Rfam family: Bacterial large subunit ribosomal RNA
Source: RNAcentral